CAUCGUUUACUGUGAAAAAAUUAGAGUGUUUAAAGCAGGCUUAUGCCGUUGAAUAUAUUAGCAUGGAAUAAUAAGAUAGGACUUUGAGUCUAUUUUGUUGGUUUGCGAGUCAAAGUAAUGAUUAAUAGGGACAGUUGGGGGUAUUCGUAUUUCAUUGUCAGAGGUGAAAUUCUUGGAUUU
This 180-nucleotide ribosomal RNA is filed under the name Rhodosorus marinus. RNAcentral's name for it is "partial Eukaryotic small subunit ribosomal RNA". It matches the Rfam family "Eukaryotic small subunit ribosomal RNA", at positions 746 to 927 of the family's 1831-position model. The record is from RNAcentral. Lineage: Eukaryota; Rhodophyta; Stylonematophyceae; Stylonematales; Stylonemataceae.